UACGUAGGGUGCGAGCGUUGUCCGGAAUUAUUGGGCGUAAAGAGCUCGUAGGCGGUGUGUCACGUCGGUCGUGAAAACCUGGGGCUUAACUCUGGGCUUGCGGUCGAUACGGGCAUCACUUGAGUUCGGCAGGGGAGACUGGAAUCCUGGUGUAGCGGUGAAAUGCGCAGAUAUCAGGAGGAACACCGGUGGCGAAGGCGGGUCUCUGGGCCGAUACUGACGCUGAGGAGCGAAAGCGUGGGGAGCGAACAGG
RNAcentral lists this ribosomal RNA (253 nucleotides) under uncultured bacterium. Its description in RNAcentral is "partial 16S ribosomal RNA". It matches the Rfam family "Bacterial small subunit ribosomal RNA", at positions 524 to 776 of the family's 1533-position model. The record is from RNAcentral.